RNAcentral lists this ribosomal RNA (444 nucleotides) under uncultured bacterium. Its description in RNAcentral is "partial 16S ribosomal RNA". It matches the Rfam family "Bacterial small subunit ribosomal RNA", at positions 354 to 796 of the family's 1533-position model. The record is from RNAcentral.
GUAGGGAAUAUUGGGCAAUGGUCGGAAGACUGACCCAGCCAUGCCGCGUGCAGGAAGACGGCCCUCUGGGUUGUAAACUGCUUUUAUCUGGGAAGAAAAAGGCCAUGCGUGGCAAAUUGCCGGUACCAGAUGAAUAAGCACCGGCUAACUCCGUGCCAGCAGCCGCGGUAAUACGGAGGGUGCGAGCGUUGUCCGGAUUUAUUGGGUUUAAAGGGUGCGUAGGCGGCUGAUUAAGUCAGCGGUGAAAGACUUCGGCUUAACCGGAGCAGUGCCGUUGAUACUGGUUGGCUUGAGUGUCGGAGGGGUACAUGGAAUUGAUGGUGUAGCGGUGAAAUGCAUAGAUACCAUCAGGAACACCGAUAGCGAAGGCAUUGUACUGGCCGACAACUGACGCUGAUGCACGAAAGUGUGGUGAUCGAACAGGAUUAGAUACCCCGGUAGUCC